This 410-nucleotide ribosomal RNA is filed under the name uncultured microorganism. RNAcentral's name for it is "bacterial SSU rRNA". It matches the Rfam family "Bacterial small subunit ribosomal RNA", at positions 509 to 917 of the family's 1533-position model. The record is from RNAcentral.
CAGCAGCCGCGGUAAUACGUAGGGUGCGAGCGUUAAUCGGAUUUACUGGGCGUAAAGCGUGCGCAGGCGGCCCGUUAAGACAGGUGUGAAAUCCCUGGGCUCAACCUAGGAAUUGCGCUUGUGACUGGCGGGCUCGAGUACGGUAGAGGGGGGUGGAAUUCCUGGUGUAGCAGUGAAAUGCGUAGAGAUCAGGAGGAACACCGAUGGCGAAGGCAGCCCCCUGGGCCUGUACUGACGCUCAUGCACGAAAGCGUGGGGAGCAAACAGGAUUAGAUCCCCUGGUAGUCCACGCCCUAAACGAUGGGUACUAGCCGUUUGGUGCGCGAUAGCGCUGAGUGGCGAAGCUAACGCGUGAAGUACCCCGCCUGGGGAGUACGGCCGCAAGGUUGAAACUUAAAGGAAUUGGCGGG